This 658-nucleotide ribosomal RNA is filed under the name Candelariella ruzgarii. RNAcentral describes it as "SSU rRNA". It matches the Rfam family "Bacterial small subunit ribosomal RNA", at positions 399 to 913 of the family's 1533-position model. The record is from RNAcentral. Lineage: Eukaryota; Fungi; Ascomycota; Candelariomycetes; Candelariales; Candelariaceae.
GCGUAAGCUAAUUGUAUUAAUUAAUACAAUAUCGAUUAUGUCGGAUAAAGUUCUAGAUAGAAUAAUGAUAAUGACAAUUUUCUAUCUAUAUGUCUUGGCCAAAUCUCGUGCCAGCAGCCGCGGUAAUACGAGGAAGACUAGUGUUAUUCAUCUUUAAUAGGUUUAAAGGGUACCUAGACGGUACUUUUAGCCCAAAACAGGGUACGGAUUUACUAGAGUUUUAUGUGAGAAGGGGAGUACUCAUGGAGUAGAGAUGAAAUUUUGUAAUACUAUGGGGUAACUGGUAGAGGCGAAAGCAACCUUCUAUGUAUAAACUGACGUUGAGGGACGAAGGCCCGGGUAGCAAACAGGAUUAGAUACCCUAGUGUCCAGGCAGAAAAUUAUGAAUGUCAUAGACUAGACUGGGACGGUAAACUUCAAAUAUGAAGGGAAAUAGGAGAAUUCCAUAACAACCGUAAAGCCAUAUUUGCUUCAGUAUAGCAAUGUUAAAACUAAAUAGGUGGCAGCUUAUUUAAUUAAAUGUGUUAUGAGCAGAAAUUUGGAUUUGAAAUUAUAUACUUUUUAAUAUAAUAUGUCCCUUUUUGUUAGUCUAUAAAUAAAAAGGGGAAGCAUUCCACCUCAAGAGUAAUGUGGCAACACGGGAACUGAAAUCAUUAGA